Suricata suricatta (meerkat) is the source of this 866-nucleotide long non-coding RNA. RefSeq lists it as uncharacterized. Lineage: Eukaryota; Metazoa; Chordata; Mammalia; Carnivora; Herpestidae. The record is from RefSeq and is a predicted model, not a curated record. The transcript is spliced from 3 exons.
GUGACUGGACCUCAGAUGCUGUCUGCUGACCCUUCUCUAUGCUUCUCAGGCCUACUCUCCCCGCCUCUGCCUUCCGCCGCUCUCCCCGGGGCCUGUCUCGGCCCUCUCCCCAGGCCAGGAAGCCUCAGUGGUCGCCUUGCCUUGCCCGGGCCGGGCACUGUUCCUCGGGCCGCUGGCUUCUCAGCCCGCAGCAGCUGCAGAGGCCUGGAGGCCAGAGGGCACCUGGGGCCAUCUCUCUGGAGGGACAUUGGCCGGUAUGCGCUCAGCCAGCCCUGUGGCUUCCAGGAACUUCAGCCCCAGCUUGGCCUGUGCUCUUGAAAGUCAAGAGAGAAGAGACGUGUGUGGUUGAGUCUCUGUACAUGGCCUAUUGAGAAACUGGAAGAGACAUUAACAUCUUGAGGAAUAAGGAAUGAAUGUUUGAGCUCACUCUAUGCCAGGGACUAAGCAAGAAGAGGAGGAUCCAAGAAUGAAUAAAGGCCAGCCCCCACUUCCAUGGAGUCAGUAUCCUAGCUGGAGAGGAAGCAGACACACACCUGUGCAGGAACAAAGAUAAGAAUGACAGCAGACUUCUCAACACAGCUGAGUGUCAAAGAUAAUGGAGUGACAUCUUUAGAGUAUUGGAAUGAAAACAAAGAAGAACUUAGGAUUCAAUACCCCCCAACAUUUUUUCCAACAACUAAGGAGUGGGGUAAUGCAAUGGUAGCUUAAGCUGAAUUUCCUGGGACACAUAUGGCAAACAGGGUCAUUUCCAUGGGUCAUCCAGCUCCAGGGUGAACUCCAUGCUCUUAUUUUUUUUUUUUAAUUAAGGCUUAGUUUUGUAACACACGCAUGCGCGCACCCACACACGUGCGAAACAACAAAAAAGU